GUUAAGAUAGUAAAAUUUUACAUUGAUAUUAAAAAUCAAAAAUGGAAAUUAAUUUUCCUCUUAAUA
RNAcentral lists this transfer RNA (66 nucleotides) under Anaphothrips obscurus. RNAcentral's name for it is "tRNA-Leu". Lineage: Eukaryota; Metazoa; Arthropoda; Insecta; Thysanoptera; Thripidae. The record is from RNAcentral.